This 443-nucleotide ribosomal RNA is filed under the name uncultured bacterium. RNAcentral's name for it is "bacterial SSU rRNA". It matches the Rfam family "Bacterial small subunit ribosomal RNA", at positions 958 to 1397 of the family's 1533-position model. The record is from RNAcentral.
AACGCGAAGAACCUUACCAACCUUUGACAUGUCCAGUAUGGAUGUAAGAGAUUACGUCCUUCAGUUCGGCUGGCUGGAACACAGGUGCUGCAUGGCUGUCGUCAGCUCGUGUCGUGAGAUGUUGGGUUAAGUCCCGCAACGAGCGCAACCCUCAUCUUCAGUUGCCAUCAGGUCAGGCUGGGCACUCUGAAGAAACCGCCGGUGACAAGCCGGAGGAAGGUGGGGAUGACGUCAAGUCCUCAUGGCCCUUACAGGUUGGGCUACACACGUACUACAAUGGUGGUGACAGUGGGUUGCGAAAUCGCAAGAUGGAGCCAAUCCCCAAAAACCAUCUCAGUUCAGAUUGCACUCUGCAACUCGAGUGCAUGAAGUUGGAAUCGCUAGUAAUCGCAGAUCAGCACGCUGCGGUGAAUACGUUCCCGGGCCUUGUACACACCGGCUAC